GAUCCUGGCUCGGGAUGAACGCUGGCGGCGUGCUUAACACAUGCAAGUCGAACGGGAAACCUUUUAUUGAAGCUUCGGCAGAUUUAGCUGGUUUCUAGUGGCGGACGGGUGAGUAACGCGUGGGUAACCUGCCCUAUACAGGGGGAUAACAACCAGAAAUGGUUGCUAAUACCGCAUAAGCGCACAGGACCGCAUGGUCCGGUGUGAAAAACUCCGGUGGUAUAGGAUGGACCCGCGUUGGAUUAGCCAGUUGGCAGGGUAACGG
RNAcentral lists this ribosomal RNA (265 nucleotides) under uncultured bacterium. Its description in RNAcentral is "partial 16S ribosomal RNA". It matches the Rfam family "Bacterial small subunit ribosomal RNA", at positions 15 to 263 of the family's 1533-position model. The record is from RNAcentral.